This is a non-coding RNA of Arabis alpina (gray rockcress), 102 nucleotides long. Lineage: Eukaryota; Viridiplantae; Streptophyta; Magnoliopsida; Brassicales; Brassicaceae. The record is from Rfam.
GUCUCCUCGUGGGCAUCCGAUAAAACUGGAACGCUACAGAGAAUAUUAGCAUGGCCCUACCCAAAGAUGACACGCACAAAUCGAAAAAUGGUCUAAACUUUU